GACGAACGCUGGCGGCGUGCUUAACACAUGCAAGUCGAACGGAAAGGCCCUGCUUUUGUGGGGUGCUCGAGUGGCGAACGGGUGAGUAACACGUGAGUAACCUGCCCUUGACUUUGGGAUAACUUCAGGAAACUGGGGCUAAUACCGGAUAGGAGCUCCUGCUGCAUGGUGGGGGUUGGAAAGUUUCGGCGGUGGGGGAUGGACUCGCGGCUUAUCAGCUUGUUGGUGGGGUAGUGGCUUACCAAGGCUUUGACGGGUAGCCGGCCUGAGAGGGUGACCGGCCACAUUGGGACUGCGAUACGGCCCAGACUCCUACGGGAGGCAGCAGUGGGGAAUAUUGCACAAUGGGCGGAAGCCUGAUGCAGCAACGCCGCGUGCGGGAUGCCGGCCUUCGGGUUGUAAACCGCUUUCGCCUGUGACGAAGCGUGAGUGACGGUAAUGGGUAAAGAAGCACCGGCUAACUACGUG
RNAcentral lists this ribosomal RNA (468 nucleotides) under uncultured bacterium. RNAcentral describes it as "partial 16S ribosomal RNA". It matches the Rfam family "Bacterial small subunit ribosomal RNA", at positions 28 to 507 of the family's 1533-position model. The record is from RNAcentral.